ACCAGACUCCUACGGGAGGCAGCAGUGGGGAAUAUUGCACAAUGGGGGGAACCCUGAUGCAGCGACGCCGCGUGGGUGAAGAAGCGCCUCGGCGCGUAAAGCCCUGUCAGCAGGGAAGAAAAUGACGGUACCUGAAGAAGAAGCCCCGGCUAACUACGUGCCAGCAGCCGCGGUAAUACGUAGGGGGCAAGCGUUAUCCGGAUUUACUGGGUGUAAAGGGAGCGUAGACGGUAUGGCAAGUCUGAAGUGAAAGCCCCGGGCUCAACCUGGGAACUGCUUUGGAAACUGUUAAACUAGAGUGCUGGAGAGGCAGGCGGAAUUCCUAGUGUAGCGGUGAAAUGCGUAGAUAUUAGGAGGAACACCAGUGGCGAAGGCGACUUUCUGGACUGUACCUGACGCUGAGGCGCGAAAGCGUGGGUAGCGAACGGGAUUAGAUACCCCAGUA
This 445-nucleotide ribosomal RNA is filed under the name uncultured bacterium. RNAcentral describes it as "bacterial SSU rRNA". It matches the Rfam family "Bacterial small subunit ribosomal RNA", at positions 330 to 792 of the family's 1533-position model. The record is from RNAcentral.